Molecule: ribosomal RNA, 449 nt
Filed under: uncultured bacterium
Lineage: Bacteria
Description: partial 16S ribosomal RNA
Rfam family: Bacterial small subunit ribosomal RNA
Source: RNAcentral
UGCCAGACUCCUACGGGAGGCAGCAGUGGGGGAUAUUGCACAAUGGGGGAAGCCCUGAUGCAGCGACGCCGCGUGGGCGAAGAAGUAUUUCGGUAUGUAAAGCCCUAUCAGCAGGGAAGAAGAAAUGACGGUACCUGAGUAAGAAGCACCGGCUAAAUACGUGCCAGCAGCCGCGGUAAUACGUAUGGUGCAAGCGUUAUCCGGAUUUACUGGGUGUAAAGGGAGCGCAGGCGGCACGGCAAGCCUGAUGUGAAAGCCCGCGGCCCAACCGCGGGACUGCAUUGGGAACUACCGGGCUGGAGUGCCGGAGAGGUAGGCGGAAUUCCUGGUGUAGCGGUGAAAUGCGUAGAUAUCAGGAGGAACACCGGUGGCGAAGGCGGCCUGCUGGACUGCGACUGACGUUGAGGCCCGAAAGCGUGGGGAGCAAACAGGAUUAGAUACCCUCGUAC